CCGUGCCAGCAGCCGCGGUAAGACGGGGGAUGCAAGCGUUAUUCGGAAUUAUUGGGCGUAAAGCGUCUGUAGGUGGUGAGGAAAGUGUUUUGUUAAAGAUCAGGGCUCAACCCUGGGAAAGCAAGGCAAACUAUCUCACUUGAGUUCGGUAGGGGCAGAGAGAAUUCCCAGUGUAGCGGUGAAAUGCGUAGAUAUUGGGAGGAAGACCGGUGGCGAAGGCGUUCUGCUGGGCCGUAACUGACACUGAGAGACGAAAGCUAAGGGAGCAAAUAGGAUUAGAUACCCUAGUAGUCUUAGCUGUAAACGAUGCACACUAUGCUUUGCAAUUUGCAGAGCAAAAGCUAACGCGUUAAGUGUGCCGCCUGGGGAGUACAUUCGCAAGGAUGAAACUCAAAGGAAUUGACGGGGACCCGCACAAGCGGUGGAGCAUGUGGUUUAAUUCGAUGCAACGCGAAGAACCUUACCAAGAAUUGACAUGCUGCGAACGUUUACGAAAGUAAAAAGUCUAUUAACUUAGUUAAUAGCGCAGACACAGGUGGUGCAUGGUUGUCGUCAGCUCGUGCCGUGAGGUGUUGGGUUAAGUCCCGCAACGAGCGCAACCCUUGUCUUUAGUUAUAAUCUAGAGAGACUGCCGGUGAUAAACCGGAGGAAGGUGAGGAUGACGUCAAAUCAGCAUGCCCCUUACAUCUUGGGCGACUCACGUGCUACAAUGGUCGAGACAAAGAGAUGCUACCCUGCGAAGGCAAGCUAACCUCAAAAACUCGAUCUUAGU
RNAcentral lists this ribosomal RNA (772 nucleotides) under Chloropicon roscoffensis. Its description in RNAcentral is "bacterial SSU rRNA". It matches the Rfam family "Bacterial small subunit ribosomal RNA", at positions 503 to 1292 of the family's 1533-position model. Lineage: Eukaryota; Viridiplantae; Chlorophyta; Chloropicophyceae; Chloropicales; Chloropicaceae. The record is from RNAcentral.